AAGACGGCCCUAUGGGUUGUAAACUGCUUUUGUACGGGAAGAACUACAUUUACGUGUAAAUGUUUGACGGUACCGUAAGAAUAAGGAUCGGCUAACUCCGUGC
This 103-nucleotide ribosomal RNA is filed under the name uncultured bacterium. Its description in RNAcentral is "partial 16S ribosomal RNA". It matches the Rfam family "Bacterial small subunit ribosomal RNA", at positions 408 to 508 of the family's 1533-position model. The record is from RNAcentral.